AUUGAACGCUGGCGGCGUGCCUAACACAUGCAAGUCGAGCGGUAACAGGUGUAGCAAUACAUGCUGACGAGCGGCGAACGGGUGAGUAAUGCUUCGGAAUCUGCCCAUGUAGUGGGGAAUAACCAGCCGAAAGGUUGGCUAAUACCGCAUACGACCUACGGGUGAAAGCAGGGGAUCGCAAGACCUUGCGCUAUUGGAUGAGCCGAAGUCGGAUUAGUCNGUUGGUAGGGUAACGGCCUACCAAGGCGACGAUCCGUAGCUGGUCUGAGAGGACGACCAGCCACACUGGGACUGAGACACGGCCCAGACUCC
RNAcentral lists this ribosomal RNA (312 nucleotides) under uncultured bacterium. RNAcentral describes it as "bacterial SSU rRNA". It matches the Rfam family "Bacterial small subunit ribosomal RNA", at positions 30 to 339 of the family's 1533-position model. The record is from RNAcentral.